Long non-coding RNA from Magnolia sinica, 5476 nucleotides. RefSeq lists it as uncharacterized. NCBI's taxonomy places the organism in Eukaryota, Viridiplantae, Streptophyta, Magnoliopsida, Magnoliales, Magnoliaceae. The record is from RefSeq and is a predicted model, not a curated record. The transcript has 2 exons.
UUUCGAAAAGGCAACACACACACACACCCCCACACCCACACACACCCAUCAUGGGAGCUUCCCAUCAGGUUGAGCUUUGUCGGCCCCACUAAAAUCUAUUUCAGACAUCUACCCCAUCAAUCAGAUGCACACUUGCAUGGUGGGCCACGGGCCUAAAAAUCAGGCCAAUGAAUGACUUAGGUGGGCCACACCAUAGACAACAGUUGAGAGUAGAUACCCACCCAUUGAAACCUUCAUGAUCAAUGGGGUCCACUAAGAUGUGGAUCAGACAUCCAGCCCAUCCAUUGUGUGUGUGUGUGUGUGUGUGUUUCUUAGGCACUGAUGCCCAAGAGCACAUUCUUUGUGUGGGCGGAAAUGGUUGUGGAUAAUAUGCACUGCCUCCCUCUCUGCUAAACAGAGGGCCAUAAUCCUAGAAUUUGCUGUGAUUGCCGAUUGGGACUGAAAUGCCAUCAACACAGAUGCGGCCUCAUCUAAGAGUAACCCAUUGAUCCCAACAUCCACUAAAAAUCUGUCCUUUGCCAAUGAGAAGCACUCUUUUAGAGGAAUUGGCAUUACUUUCGUACUUCCCCAGCCAUUGCCUCCGAUUACCCUUAAAAGUUGACAUCGGCAAACAGCUUCCCAAUAUAUGAGAUUGCUCAUAAUUCCCCGACGAAUUUUCUCAAUUGAUGCUUCUAGUCCUUUGAAAAUGCAAGCAUUUGUUUCGGCCCAAAUCUCCCAGAAAACUGAGAACGGAGUGACUGACCACGGAAUUUUGCCCUUAUUUUAAACCGCCAACCUUCCCAGCUGUAUUUCUCGUCAAGCAACUUAUCCUUGAAGACCCAUGAAACUCCAAAGGAUGGUAGAUUUAUAGACCAAACUGAUAUUGCACAGGGUUAUUUUAGGAGAAGAUGAGACACUGAUUCUUCAUUAUGCUUACACAGCAUGCAGUUAUUUCAGAACUUGAAACCACUUUUUUGAAGCUGAUCUUGAGUUAGGAUAGAUUGCAGCCCUCGGAUCGGGAGAGGUUAUCAGCCAGGCAGGUCAGGUGGACAGUAAUCCAGAGGCUUUGACAGAUCUAUGGGUAGCCCAAAUGGUCAUCCCCUUGGCAGUUGAAGAUUGGGAAGUGUAUAUGGGAGAAGGGGUAGGGAACGCUGAACAUUUAAACGUAGCAAUCGAUACUUUAUCUUUGUGGAACCCACAGACCGGAAAGGUUUCUAUGGCACAGGGGAUGGCACGUAUCAGGAAGGUAAUGUUGGAGAUGGCAUGUUUGGUGGGUAUCACAUUUGAUGAUAGGCCAGAGGAUUAUGUGGCCCUAUUUGAAUUUGUUGAAGAGGGAGGUAGAUACCGAUGCAAGAUAUAAAUGAUGAUAGCAAUAGAGAAAGGCUGAGAUCGGAAUUUUGAAGUGUCAACGAGUUGCGGCAGAUUGCAGAAAUGUCUAACAAAGGGAAAAUGGAUGAAACAAUGAAGAUAGCAAGCUGGGAUGUAAGGGAUCUGGGGUGUGUGCAAAAAAGAAUCCAAGUCAGGGAUAUGUGCAAAAGGUGCAAAAUUCAGAUGGUGGCGUUCCACGAAACUAAGUUGCAAGGAACAGAUCAGGCCAUCGUGAAAUCGCUAUGGUGGGGUAAACAGACUGAAUGGAAAGCUCUCGAUGUGAAUGUGGCAGCAGGUAGAUUCUUGGAAGGGUCAAUUUUCUGUAUCUCUGUUACUAAGAGACAUCUCAACAGGUUUUCGAUGGGUAUUCACGGUGGUGUAGGGUCUGAACAGGCUGAAUCUAAGAUCACAAUUUUGGGAUGAGUUAGAUGCUUGUCAUAAUAGGUGGCUUUUGCCGUGGUGUGUGGGAGGUGACUUUAAUGUCAUUCGAUUUGUGUAUGAAAAUCGAACGGGGAAAGAAUAACCCGAAGCAUGAAUUGUUUUUUUCGGAAUGGAUUGUAAAGAAUAAGAUGGUUAAUUUACCAAUGGGAAGACUGAAGUUUACAUGGUUAAAUGGGCAAGCUAAAUUGAUCAAAUAAAAGUUAGACCAUUUCUUAUUGUCAUUGGAUUGGGUGGAAGAAUUUUCAUUAGUGCAUCAAAGAGGUUUUGCCAAGACCAAUAUCCGACCAUUGUUCAAUCAUGUUAGAAUUGGAUGAGGAGGAUUGGCACCCUUGCCCAUUCAGAUUUGAGCUCGCAUGGUUAGAAAUAGAAGGUUUCUCGGAAAAGGUGAUUGAAUGGUGGUCUUCCUUUUCGGUUCAAGGAAAAGCAGGAUUUGUGUUGUUCCAAAAACUCAAGAUGUUAAAAAGAAAAUAAAUGAAUGGAGAAAAGAGUGCUUAGGGAUCUGAGUGGAAGAAACAUAAAAAUGCUGCAAGACAUUCAGUUUUUUUUAUUUAAAAGAAGCAGGAGAGUUAUCGGAAGAGGAGAGGGCAUGGUGGGAGGUACAUAGGCAAAGUAUAAUGUGAAACUAAGAGAGGAUGAAAUAAAACGGAGGUAAAGAUCAAUGGCUCUAUGGUUAAAAGAGGGAGAUAAGAACAAGGAAGUUUUUUCAUGCGAUGGCAGGUGCUUGAGCUAGGACGAAUAAAAUCAAGACACUUAUGGUGGAGGGGCAAAUAGUCAAUGAUAAAGCGAAUGUGUGCAACUCCAUAAUUAAUUUUUAUACAGAUCUUUUGUCGAAGGAAGAUUGGAGAAGAUCAUCUAUGGACAAUCUCAUUUUCGGUUCAAUUUCUAAAGAGUCUAUGGAUUUGUUAGAGAAAGCUUUCUAGAUGGAAGAAAUCGUGAGCACAAUCAAAGAGUUGGGAAGUUAUAAAGCUCCGGGGCUAGAUGGUUUUCUGAUAGUGUUCUUUCAAAAGUUUUGGGAGCUAGUCAAGUCGGAUGUGGUGGCAUUUAUCAAUGAAUUCCACGAGAAAGGAACCAUAGCAUCGGAGUUAGGGGCUACGUUCAUAGUAAUGAUUCCAAAAACAGAAGAGGCCGAGAGUUUUAAAGACUUUAGGCUUAUAAGUCUCAUGGGAAGUCCAUACAAAAUUCUGUCAAAAGUAUUAACUCCUAGAUUUCGAGCGACUAUUGGAGAAAUUAUUUCUUUAAACCAAGGGGCAUUUGUGGAAGGGAGACAAAUAGUGGUCAGUGUAUUAGUGGCACAAGAAUGCAUUGACUUGUGUGUUAGAAAAGGGUCGAAAGACAUAAUAUGCAAGCAAGAUAUUGAAAAAACUUAUAAUCACAUAGAUUGGGACUUCUUGGAUUACAUGUUGGGUACGGUAGGCUGCGGAUUGAUGUGGUGGUCUUGGAUUCCAUUAUGUGUAAAUUUUGCAAGAUUCUCGGUUUUGGUAAAUGGAUCUCCGAAUGGCUUCUUUGCACCUUCUAGAGGGUUGAGAUAAGGAGAUCCUCUCUUCCCAUAUUUGUUUCUGGUGGUAAUGGAUGCGUUUAGUAGAAUUAUCGACAAAGGGGUAGUGGGGGGCUUGGUGAAGGGAUUUUGGGUGGAUAGUUUGGAAUUUCAAGGGUCAUGUUUACAGGAUGUAGAUGAUAUGCUAUCAUUGUGUGAGGCGGAUGAAGAAUUUGUUGAUCGGGUUUGAAAGUAAACAUCAGAAAAAGUGAGGUAUUGGGAGCGGGCAUUCCUAAGGAGGAGGCGGGGAAAUUCGUGACUAUUUUUGGCUGUGAGAGGGUUCCUUUCCUUAUCAUGGGCUCACACCGAGUAUUGGGAGGCCGUCGAAACAACUAUGGUAUAAGGUGAUAGAAUGCUUUGAAAGAAAGUUGUCCCAAUGGAAGAAUAGGCUUUUAUAUCUAGGUGGAAGGCUAACUUUGAUCAAAUCAGCAAUGUCUAACCUUCCAGUAUAAUUUAUGUUGUUAUUCAAGUGUCCGAAAUUAGUAUUGAAUAAGUUGGAGAAAAUUAGGUGAGGUUUUUUUGUGGAAAGGAGUGGAAGAAAAACAAAAAAGUUAUCUCUAAUAAAAUGGGAGGAUGUAUGUAAAUCGUGGGAUCAAGGGAGAGCUGGUUUAAGAAAUUUGAAAAUUAUGAAUUUGUCUUUGUUGGGAAAAAUGGGUAUGGAGGUUUGUAGCGGAAGAGGGGUCAAUAUGGUGAGAGGUGGUAGCGAGGAAGUAUGGGGUGGAAGAAAGGGGCAGCUGGAUGAAAUCAUCAUCAUUGUACAGGGCAUUCUUUAUAUGGAAAUCGGUGGUGUCAUUAAAAGAUGAAGUUUAGGAUGGAAUAGGAUUUUCAUUGGGGGACGGGAGGAGCAUUAGAUUUUGGGAGGAUCUGUGGGUGGGUGACCAGAAACUGAAGUUUUCCCACACUUGGUGGGGUUGGCAUUAGAGGCCGAUUUGACAGUGGAUGGAUGUUUUUCAAGGAGAAGAAGCGAUAUGGGCUCCACUUUGUAGAAGGAAUCGAAGCAGAGGUUGAAGAGUUUAUUAGUCUUCUUGGUCUGCUAAUCCAAAAUGCAUCCAGUAGUUUCAGAGCUGGACUCGAUGAAAUUGUUAAAAGACAGAUGUGGAAAAUUUUCAGUUUUAACUCCUACAAUUGUUCAAGUGGGGGAGCUAACAGAGUGGGGGUUAGUCCAACAACUUUCGUAUGGCGAUAUGGUGCUCUUCCAAAGUUAUCAGCUUUCGCUUGGUUAGUGAGUAAAAAGGAGGUGUUAACAGUUGACAAUCUUUGUAAGAGAAUGAUUAUUCUCCUGAAUAGUUGCUUGAUGUGUUAUCAAGAUGAGAAAUUGGUGGAUCAUCUCCUUUAUACAUUGUUCUUUUGUUAAGAGGAUGUGGAAUUGUUUCUUCAGCCUAUUCGGGGUAUAUAGGUGAUGCCAAAAUCCAUAGAUCUUUUAUUCUCCAUGUGGCAUGAAGGAUGUAAUGGGAAGGUGAGGAAAAAAGUUUGGGGCAUGUGUUUACUAGCGGGUUUAUGGUUCCUAUGGUUAGAAAGGAAUGAUUGAUGCUUCAAAAAUCGAAAGGGGAAGUCUUAGAAGUGUUUAAUAGGUCUUAAGCACAUGUAAUAGAAUGGGCGAUUGUAGCAAAGAUUAAAGUCCAAUUUCCGGAUAAUUGGUUGGAGUUGUUUCUUUUUCGAGCAUCUUUGUAAAUAUUUUGGCUGCAGCCUUACAUCAAUAAAAUUAUCAUCGUUUCAAAAAAAAAGUUGGGAUUUGUUCUUGGAUUGCUGUCCAUAUGAAUGCUGAAGUCCUAGGCAGAAUUGCUACCUUCCAAAUGUUGACUAGAAAGGCAUUUGAGGGGGUUUUUGAAACUUAUUUGAAGUAAGAUUUACCAGAAAGGAUCUGGAGGCCAAUGUCUUCCAGAUUUUUGUAUCUUCCUCAUUCGAGAAGAGACCUUGAAGGUCUCUUAGAUUUGCAUCAUUUUAGUAAUUUGGGCUAUUUCACCAUCCUCCGGAUCUCUUCUAAAUCUGAUGUCCCACACCACCUUCCCAUUAUGAACCAUUGCACACUCUUUCACCAGUCUGCCUCUAUGUCGAUUAUUCUGUAGAGGCUGGGGAAUGCUGUGGCGAGAGAUUUGUUCCCAAUUCGUUCGUCUUCCCAUAGGCGAAUGUUUUCACCCCCCUUUUUUUUUAAAA